UAGCCAUUAACUACAUGUGGCCACUGGGCACUUGAAACAUGGAGAGCUCAUGUGCCCACAUCAUUUCACUCAAAGAAGGAAAGCAGAGUGGGCUAGUGAGGAAGCACCACUGCCUUUAACCCAACAUUUAACCUCUCGGUGGCUCAUUGUUCUGUAAAAGCUACACAUCUGCAUGAGGACAGAUUUUCUUCAUACAUUUCAACCAAAACAACAUACAGCAACAGAAUGAAUGCAGAAGCAGACUUCAUAAUACGCGGAAAACCUGGACACAACCUGCCUGCCCACUGUUAUGCUGUGCCCAGUCUACUACGGGCCCCAACCAGACGCCAUGUGAAACCACAAAAGCAAAAGCAUCUUUGACACAGCCUGAGCCCUCCGGAGGCUCCCAGUCUAUGGAGAGAUACGCUGGUGCAUAGUUCUCCAUGACUUAGGUUCCUCCACUGAGAAAUGGAGUGAAGACUAAUAGCUACCUAAAAGGGUCAUCGUGACAAUUAAAUGAGUUCAUAUGUGCAUAUAAAGACUGGACACAGAAUCUUUACAGAGAAAACACUCGUAACAGGCUCUCCAAGGAAAAAGAAGGAAUCCACUGCUGACGACACUCAGUCCUCUCAGGGUUGCUGACAUCCCACAAAACAACUGGACCCCAGCCUCCAUGACACCUGGACGUGCAAAGAGAAGGACUGAGCGAACUAUAGAGCUGCUGCAUCUUUUAAAUGAAUGGGGAGAGGAAGCUGACGGUAUUCAUACACUAAAUCAGAGCCUUGAGUACAGCAGGAGAGGAGACGCCAAAACUCUGGCUCGGCUUGCAUCACAACACUGACAUCUGUUGGCUGCAAGCGCGCUGGAUCCUCUGCAGCUGCGGGACCGCUCCUACGAAACUGAAUCUCUUAACGGCCCUGGGCCAUUUAAGAUAUGUGAUGUCCUUCACUCCUAAUAGAUUGCAAACUUGUGUUCAGAGUUUCUUAUGUUAGCCUUCAACUCUCUCACGAAACAAGACUUUAUGCCAUUUUAAUUCUUUUCUAAAACAAAUCAAACAUUUGCGUAUGCAACAUCCACAUCCAUCCAAACAAGCUGCAUAA
Molecule: long non-coding RNA, 1079 nt
Organism: Zalophus californianus (California sea lion)
Lineage: Eukaryota; Metazoa; Chordata; Mammalia; Carnivora; Otariidae
Exons: 7
Source: RefSeq, a predicted model, not a curated record